Molecule: ribosomal RNA, 254 nt
Filed under: uncultured bacterium
Lineage: Bacteria
Description: partial 16S ribosomal RNA
Rfam family: Bacterial small subunit ribosomal RNA
Source: RNAcentral
UACGUAGGGAGCAAGCGUUGUCCGGAAUCAUUGGGCGUAAAGCGCGCGUAGGUGGCCUCAUAAGUCCGCUGUGAAAGUCAAAGGCUCAACCUUUGAAAGCCGGUGGAUACUGUGGGGCUAGAGUACGGAAGAGGCGAGUGGAAGUUCCUGGUGUAGCGGUGGAAUGCGCAGAUAUCAGGAGGAACACCAAUAGCGAAGGCAGCUCGCUGGGACGUUACUGACACUGAGGCGCGAAAGCGUGGGGAGCGAACAGG